RNAcentral lists this transfer RNA (73 nucleotides) under Ailuropoda melanoleuca (giant panda). It matches the Rfam family "tRNA". Rfam says of the family: Transfer RNA (tRNA) molecules are approximately 80 nucleotides in length. Their secondary structure includes four short double-helical elements and three loops (D, anti-codon, and T loops). Lineage: Eukaryota; Metazoa; Chordata; Mammalia; Carnivora; Ursidae. The record is from Rfam by way of RNAcentral.
ACCUGGCUGGCUCAGUUGGUAGAGCAUGCGACUCUUGAUCUCAGGGUUGUGAGUUCGAGCCCUACGUUGGGUG